Molecule: ribosomal RNA, 469 nt
Filed under: uncultured bacterium
Lineage: Bacteria
Description: partial 16S ribosomal RNA
Rfam family: Bacterial small subunit ribosomal RNA
Source: RNAcentral
GACGAACGCUGGCGGCGUGCUUAACACAUGCAAGUCGAACGGAAAGGCCCUGCUUUUGUGGGGUGCUCGAGUGGCGAACGGGUGAGUAACACGUGAGUAACCUGCCCUUGACUUUGGGAUAACUUCAGGAAACUGGGGCUAAUACCGGAUAGGAGCUCCUGCUGCAUGGUGGGGGUUGGAAAGUUUCGGCGGUUGGGGGUGGACUCGCGGCUUAUCAGCUUGUUGGUGGGGUAGUGGCUUACCAAGGCUUUGACGGGUAGCCGGCCUGAGAGGGUGACCGGGGGGAGGGGGAGGGAAAUACGGCCCAGGGGGCUGAGGGGGGAAGAAGGGGGGCAUAUUGCGCGAUGGGGGGCAGCCGGAUGCAGCAAGCGUGCGGGGGGGAUGACGGGGUUGGGGGUGUAAACCGAUGUCAGGAGGGGCGAAGCUUGGGGUGACGGUACCUGCAGAAGAAGCACCGGCUAACUACGUG